UGUCAGUGAGGCAGUUUGUUACUUGUAUUAUAAGUGGAGGCCGAUAAACAAGCGACAAAAUCAUAUACCACUCCAUCCCCGCAAACGCCAUCAUCACAAGCAUCAAACACUCGAAACUACAUUAUCACUAAUAAGGAUCUUGCCAAGUUGACAACUAGUUAUUUACGAAAAUUCAAGACUCAAGCAAUGAAAAUGAAAUCAAGUGGUGAUAGCAUAUCUGUUACAAUACCAACAACCGUGUACGGUCAUGAGCAGACAACUAUCAUUGAUUAUGAAGACAUGCUUGAUUGGUGCUUCCAAAGAGCGAUUGGAGUGACUCACUUGUCAAUUUUCAUGAAAUACUUGAGCGAAAAAUGUCAAGAAGAUAGUGUAUCUGGGAUGUAUGGAUUUUGCGAUCCAAAUUAUAUAUCUCCUUUGACACGAAUAAGUGAAGAAGAGCGAACCGACUAUCUAGCUCGUAUCUUUGGC
Beta vulgaris subsp. vulgaris (sugar beet) is the source of this 468-nucleotide long non-coding RNA. RefSeq lists it as uncharacterized. The record is from RefSeq and is a predicted model, not a curated record. The transcript has 3 exons. NCBI's taxonomy places the organism in Eukaryota, Viridiplantae, Streptophyta, Magnoliopsida, Caryophyllales, Amaranthaceae.